This 29-nucleotide non-coding RNA is filed under the name Homo sapiens (human). Lineage: Eukaryota; Metazoa; Chordata; Mammalia; Primates; Hominidae. The record is from RNAcentral.
UGGCCAGGGAGUCCUUUGGCAAACAGUGC